Long non-coding RNA from Cyprinus carpio (common carp), 1198 nucleotides. The record is from Ensembl. NCBI's taxonomy places the organism in Eukaryota, Metazoa, Chordata, Actinopteri, Cypriniformes, Cyprinidae.
GUCUGUUUCAGGAUGAUAUAACGUCAUUGGAUGCUGGGCAGACGCUCUAUCUACAAAUCUACAGACCUGUGUACUUCCAGCUGGUGGAUGUUCUGCUGCAGAAGGCCAGUUUCCCCAGAGGUGAGGACUAUGCCACGUGGUCCGCAGAUGACCAAGAGCAGUUCAGGACCUACAGGGUUGACAUCUCGGAUACUCUGAUGUAUGUGUAUGAGCCCAGAGGUCCUCAGAAACCUGUAUGAUAAACAAGGCACACUGCUGAUGGACACAACACACCUCUCCUCAUGGCAAGUCAGUCCUAAUGUUGCAGUGUCUUAUAAAUGCCUAUUAUAUUGAACAAUAUCUCCCGUGGAGCAUGUAGAGGCUCUGCUGUUUGGGUUUCAGUCCAUUGCUGAGACAGUAGAUGUCAGUUACUCAGACGUCAUUCCAGGACUGAUGGGUCUGAUUCCUUUCAUCACAGCAAACAAUGUUCAGCUGGCUGAGACCAUCAUGUUCACCAUAGGUACACUUAUUCAUUUGUAAGCAUAACUUGCAAGUGUAUUCUACACAUCAGGGUUUCUGUGGGUCUUAAAAAGUCUUUAAUGGUGAAGUUUAAUUCUUAGGGUUGGAAGUCACUGACUGCUGUCAUGAUUUCUUGUAGGCUCUUUGGCCGAGUGGUUGGCUGAUCAUUCACUCUUGUUGGUGAGUGUCCUGCCUGUGGUCUUGCAUGGCCUUUCAAACCCGGAACUGUCCAUGGAAUCUGCCGAGAAUGUCGACAUGACCUCUACCUUCACGCCAGUGACAUCAUGUCUGUCUCACAGGUUUAAAAAAACAUUUUGUCUAGAAGUGCCACUACAGUUGUGCCAAAUAAUGUCAGGGAGUAAUGUACAAAGCUCACUGUAGUCUUUUUUGGUCUCAGGCAGUGCUUGUCAAAGACAUCCAUAAAGUAAGUCCAAUUGUGUUUGAUUAGUGUUGGUAACACUGUAACUGUAACUUUUACUCAGCAUUUUUUCUCUCUUUUACCCUUUGAUGCAGCCCAGCUCUGGUAAUAAGCUUCCUAUUGUCCACAUCCUCGGCCUGCUGGCCAGUCUCUUCUCCACAUUUGACCUAAACAAGCAAAGCGAAAGAUUGGAGGUCAUGAGGCCUGUCCAAACACAGCCACACAACAACAACCCGGUAUGACAGCCCAUCAAGACUCAAACUCCAGUCAGCUAUUGUUCAU